This 490-nucleotide ribosomal RNA is filed under the name uncultured bacterium. RNAcentral's name for it is "partial 16S ribosomal RNA". It matches the Rfam family "Bacterial small subunit ribosomal RNA", at positions 28 to 507 of the family's 1533-position model. The record is from RNAcentral.
GAUGAACGCUAGCUACAGGCUUAACACAUGCAAGUCGCGGGGCAGCAUGGGGGUUGCUUGCAAUCCCCGAUGGCGACCGGCGCACGGGUGAGUAACGCGUAUCCAACCUGCCCUUCACCACGGGAUAACCCGGCGAAAGUCGGACUAAUACCGUAUGUUGUCCAUUGACGGCAUCCGAUUUGGACGAAAGGUUUGGCGGUGAGGGAUGGGGAUGCGUCCGAUUAGCCAGACGGCGGGGUAACGGCCCACCGUGGCUACGAUCGGUAGGGGUUCUGAGAGGAAGGUCCCCCACACUGGAACUGAGACACGGUCCAGACUCCUACGGGAGGCAGCAGUGAGGAAUAUUGGUCAAUGGGCGUAAGCCUGAACCAGCCAAGUAGCGUGCAGGAUGACGGCCCUAUGGGUUGUAAACUGCUUUUAUGCGGGGAUAAAGUGGCCCACGGGUGGGCUUUUGCAGGUACCGCAUGAAUAAGGACCGGCUAAUUCCGUG